GCCUUCGUGGUGUAGUGGUUUUGCACGCUGGGCCAGUAUUCCAGAGGUCCGCGGUUCGAUUCCCGGCGAAGGCG
RNAcentral lists this transfer RNA (74 nucleotides) under Stegodyphus dumicola. RNAcentral's name for it is "tRNA-Thr". It matches the Rfam family "tRNA". From Rfam's summary of the family: Transfer RNA (tRNA) molecules are approximately 80 nucleotides in length. Their secondary structure includes four short double-helical elements and three loops (D, anti-codon, and T loops). Lineage: Eukaryota; Metazoa; Arthropoda; Arachnida; Araneae; Eresidae. The record is from RNAcentral.